This 292-nucleotide long non-coding RNA is filed under the name Ananas comosus (pineapple). Its description in RNAcentral is "long non-coding RNA (ACOM_LNC011490)". The record is from RNAcentral. Lineage: Eukaryota; Viridiplantae; Streptophyta; Magnoliopsida; Poales; Bromeliaceae.
UUUUUAUUCGACACUUCUACUUGUCACCACAACAAGGAAAAUCUCUUAAUCACGAACAACUAGUAAAUAUAUUAAAACCAACUUCUUCUUCUUCUUCUUCUUCUUUUUUUGAGAGAGAAAGAUAGCAUGUUACAUACUUCGUUUAUUUCAUUAAGAAAUAAAUUUAGCUGAAAAUAUGAAUCAACUAGGAUUCGAACUUAGGUCUCAGAAACCAACCACCAAAUACUUUUGUGACUUGCGCUAGCAACGGUCGGUAAAAAACCAACUUGUUAACACCUUGAGCACAUCAAAA